This 298-nucleotide long non-coding RNA is filed under the name Homo sapiens (human). RNAcentral's name for it is "non-protein coding lnc-SLC4A3-8:3". Lineage: Eukaryota; Metazoa; Chordata; Mammalia; Primates; Hominidae. The record is from RNAcentral.
AGAAAGAGAGAGAGCAGGAGAGAGAGAGACAGACAGAAUCCACUAGUAGAAUAAGCCAUGAUCACCACUCAAAACUUGGAGAGAGAGAGACAGACAGAAUCCACUAGUAGAAUAAGCCAUGAUCACCACUCAAAACUUGUAAGUUUACUUCUUUGCUAAUAGAUAUUGGAAUCAUUAAGUUUGCUCUUAAAAAAGUAUUUUUGUUUUGUUUUGUUUUUUCAGUUGCUACUACUUGAUCAGUACCUGGAAUUCUGAGGAAAACCCUAUUAGAGAUUGCAAAUCCAGUAAAUAAAGGCAG